Molecule: ribosomal RNA, 432 nt
Filed under: uncultured bacterium
Lineage: Bacteria
Description: bacterial SSU rRNA
Rfam family: Bacterial small subunit ribosomal RNA
Source: RNAcentral
AACGAACGCUGGCGGCAUGCCUAACACAUGCAAGUCGAACGAAGCCUUCGGGCUUAGUGGCGCACGGGUGCGUAACGCGUGGGAAUCUGCCCUUUGGUUCGGAAUAACAGUUAGAAAUGACUGCUAAUACCGGAUGAUGACUUCGGUCCAAAGAUUUAUCGCCAGAGGAUGAGCCCGCGUAGGAUUAGGUAGUUGGUGGGUAAAGGCCUACCAAGCCGACGAUCCUUAGCUGGUCUGAGAGGAUGAUCAGCCACACUGGGACUGAGACACGGCCCAGACUCCUACGGGAGGCAGCAGUGGGGAAUAUUGGACAAUGGGGGAAACCCUGAUCUAGCCAUGCCGCGUGAGCGAUGAAGGCCUUAGGGUUGUAAAGCUCUUUCAGCGGGGAAGAUAAUGACUGUACCCGCAGAAGAAGCCCCGGCUAACUCCGUG